RNAcentral lists this non-coding RNA (76 nucleotides) under Denitratisoma oestradiolicum. Its description in RNAcentral is "SAH (S-adenosyl-L-homocysteine) riboswitch aptamer". It matches the Rfam family "SAH (S-adenosyl-L-homocysteine) riboswitch aptamer". Lineage: Bacteria; Pseudomonadati; Pseudomonadota; Betaproteobacteria; Nitrosomonadales; Sterolibacteriaceae. The record is from Rfam by way of RNAcentral.
CCCUCCGAGGAGCGCUGCGAGGGUCUGUCCGCUGACACCCCCAGGCUCGGUAAAGCAACAACGGCGCUCACUUGUC